Long non-coding RNA from Nelumbo nucifera (sacred lotus), 471 nucleotides. RefSeq lists it as uncharacterized. The record is from RefSeq and is a predicted model, not a curated record. NCBI's taxonomy places the organism in Eukaryota, Viridiplantae, Streptophyta, Magnoliopsida, Proteales, Nelumbonaceae.
UCUCCCUUGCAUUCCAUACAUCCUAGUUUGAUCCUUGUCUCGUGAAGAAAUGGCAGCUAAGUCCGGCAUAUCGAUGAUGGCCACUCUUCUCAUCUUGGCUCUGGUACUCUCUCCGGUGUUGCCAACUGAGGCAGCUCGCUUCACUAAUAAUGAGCUCUUUGGACGAACAUUAUUACAAGAGGAAAUCAUUUGCCCAGCGUGUGUAUGUUGCACCCCUGCUCCACCCGGCGAAUGUUGCGAAUGUUGUGCUUCUCCCAUCGAAACUGAAGCUCGGACUCCAUGAAGAAGCAUCGUCGCUUUCACUCGGGAGGAUGGAUAGAAUUGGUGGUGUCAUCCAGUUUAAUAAGAUCGAUCGGAAGAUCAAUGUUUAAUGAAAUAAUAAUGCCGCAGAGAGCAUUACACCUGUUCUGUAGCAAGAUUUAUUAGGUCCAUGAAUAUUUAUGGUUCUUCUGUUUCUAUUUGCCUUGAAUA